UGUUGCUGCAACACUGCUGCAAUCUUGCAGAAUAAUAGUGAAUCCAUUCUUCGUUGGAAGCUGAUUUUGCGUACACAGCUCAAAACAAACAGGUUAUCUGAAUGUGUUAGACAGUUUGCUGCUUUGUUUCAUCUAACUAAUACACAUGUUUGAGGAAACAAACAUGGUAUUUAUUAACUAAAAUUAUUUCUUUAGAAAUAAAAAUGACUCAUGAUUUAGUAGAAAAAUUAAUGUAAUUUAAGGUGUCCUAGUUAUAAUCUUCGUGUUGUUUGGCACAAUAAAUCGCAUAAAUCUGUUAAUGCUGAUUUCAGGCAAAAAAAUAUUUACUGAGAUGGAUACACACAUGUGAUUUUAUUGUCACUGGAUCGCAUAAACCUUUGCAUGUGAAUAAUGAGUUCUAAAAGCUUAAAUGCCCUGUUUUAUCUAACUUUCCCCUAAUUUAUACAUUUUUUGUAAUUAUACAUAUGUAACUAUUCAUAUUCAUUAAUAUCUUAAGUAAGCAGAACUAAUUUUAGUACCUUAUAAAAAUUACUCUUUCAAACUAAUAUCGAUACAAUAUAAUAGACGUUAAUAUACUAAUCUUUACUCCAUAAUAAAGAUAAAAAAUGUAUUCAUUAGAUACUAAUCUUAAAUAUCAUUGUUAAUUAUUGUUAAAUGCAGAUAUUUUUUAAAUUAUUUAAAUUAUACUAAACAUGCCUAGCUAUUGUCCACCUAAUAAUAAUUGCUUUAGUACGAUAUAUCCCUUGAUGAACGAACAUGUUGUUCUUGAUUGUCAAUCUUGACAAUGACAUGAAUAUAAGCAAGAUAUAAACUCAUAAAUAUAAAUAAUCUUUGCAGGAUAAUUGUACGGUACUUUGGUAUAUAUCUCUGAUAUAAACAUACGCCGUACUUAAGGAGAAAUAAAUUUAUUGAGUAUUAUUUACAAUAUUUAAGACAAUGGUAAAAAUACAUCAUUUUUAUGUAACUUUUUUCUUUAUAAUUUUUUAAUAAACCAUGAGGGACGAGAAAGGACAAUGACUUUCACCUCCUUAGAGAUUCAAGAGAUCAUUUUAACAUAUGCUAAAUAAGAUUAUUAUACUGCAUACAUCUCGUUUCUUUUCAGAGAGGAAAGAUGAUGACAUCCCCUUAUAAAUUUUUACAUUGUGAGAGUUGUAAUCAACAGCCCUAUGUCGGCAAAGUACCAAUAAAGAAGGAAAAUCUAUGUGUUGACUUCAUCUAUCAAUUUGUGAAACAUAGCAAUAGCAUAAAUCGUACAUGUAAAAAGAUAAUUGGGACACCCAGGGUUUUUCCAGAUUAUGGACAGUUUACAGACAAAACAUUUACCAUUAGCUUGAAUUCCACGAAACUGUAUAUCCAAUCAGAGUUUCUAUAUAUGAAGUGUAUAAUCCUGGAUACGUAACUGAAAUUUGGGCUGAAAAUUCUCAACUUCACAAUCAAUGGUUUCUUUUAUGGACUGGAGAGGCUCAGAAGGCUCCUCCGACAUCACGGAUAUUUUUCCCGCCUUUACAAUUUUGUGGCUUCAAAACCAAGAGACUCAGACUACAAUUUACGGAUAUGCCUCAAUUGUCACAGUUCCAACACCUCAUAGAUGCUGUGAUGCUUAUCGGUUCUUCAGAAUUAAUCGUUCCUAAAAAUCCUAAACAGAGUUUAACUGAUCUGUUAAUAAGUAUUAACAAGUAUUAUGAGUGUUUGGAUGACCAUAAUUUAACACCGAAUUAUGAAAGAGCCCAUUUGGAUAUAUUCCACCUUGAAAAGGAAUUGUGUUUGAAAGUUGUACUAUAACUAGUGAAAGUGAUAUUAUUAAACACUCUUCAAUCCAUGGAACAACCAGGUGGCGAUUUUCGUGUGCUUCCUGUAAAGUAUUCGAAGACGUUUAUUGCUCGUUACAAUAUUUGUUAUAUUUAUUAAAGUGAUAUCAUGAAUUAAAAUUUUAUUUAUUAUCUUUGCAGACUGAAAUGAUAUUGGAAGUAUUGAAAUAUUUGGAUACGACGGCGUUGUGCCGCAUGAACAGAGUAAAUAAAUAUUUCGGUGAAUUAAUUGGUACGAUUUUAUAUUUGUAUUUGCCAUAUUAUAUUUCACUGUACAUUCAGACGUUUGCAGCACUUUGAUCUAAGUUUGAAAACCGUGACUGUUUCGCAUUUCGUAAAGCUUAUUAAGGUGAUGCUGGAGUCUCUC
Vollenhovia emeryi is the source of this 2175-nucleotide long non-coding RNA. RefSeq lists it as uncharacterized. The transcript has 3 exons. The record is from RefSeq and is a predicted model, not a curated record. NCBI's taxonomy places the organism in Eukaryota, Metazoa, Arthropoda, Insecta, Hymenoptera, Formicidae.